This 247-nucleotide unclassified non-coding RNA is filed under the name fungal sp. RNAcentral describes it as "partial contains 5.8S ribosomal RNA, internal transcribed spacer 2, and large subunit ribosomal RNA". Lineage: Eukaryota; Fungi. The record is from RNAcentral.
CGCACAUUGCGCCCCUUGGUAUUCCAUGGGGCAUGCCUGUUCGAGCGUCAUUUGAGCCCUCAAGCUUUGCUUGGUGAUGGGUGUUUGUCCACUUUUCGCAUUUGGACUCGCCUUAAAAUUAUUGGCAGCCGGCAUCUAGGCCUUUGGAGCGCAGCACAUUUUGCGAUCUAAGCCUGUAUGCUGGUAAUCCAUGAAGCAAAUUUAUCACUUUGACCUCGGAUCAGGUAGGGAUACCCGCUGAACUUAA